RNAcentral lists this ribosomal RNA (469 nucleotides) under uncultured bacterium. RNAcentral describes it as "partial 16S ribosomal RNA". It matches the Rfam family "Bacterial small subunit ribosomal RNA", at positions 28 to 507 of the family's 1533-position model. The record is from RNAcentral.
GACGAACGCUGGCGGCGUGCUUAACACAUGCAAGUCGAACGGAAAGGCCCUGCUUGCAGGGUGCUCGAGUGGCGAACGGGUGAGUAACACGUGGGUGAUCUGCCCCUUACUUUGGGAUAAGCCUGGGAAACUGGGUCUAAUACUGGAUAGGACCAUGCUGUAGGUGGUGUGGUGGAAAGAUUAGUUUCGGUAAGGGAUGAGCUCGCGGCCUAUCAGCUUGUUGGUGGGGUAAUGGCCUACCAAGGCGUCGACGGGUAGCCGGCCUGAGAGGGUGGACGGCCACAUUGGGACUGCGAUACGGCCCAGACUCCUACGGGAGGCAGCAGUGGGGAAUAUUGCACAAUGGGCGCAAGCCUGAUGCAGCGACGCCGCGGGGGGGAUGACGGCCUUCGGGUUGUAAACUCCUUUCAGCCAUGACGAAGCCCUUGUGGUGACGGUAGUGGUAGAAGAAGCACCGGCUAACUACGUG